CCUACGGGGGGCAGCAGUGAGGAAUAUUGGUCAAUGGGCGGGAGCCUGAACCAGCCAAGUCGCGUGAAGGAAGAAGGUACUUAGUAUUGUAAACUUCUUUUGUCGGGGAACAAAGGCGGAGACGCGUCUCCGGAUGAGUGUACCCGAAGAAAAAGCAUCGGCUAACUCCGUGCCAGCAGCCGCGGUAAUACGGAGGAUGCGAGCGUUAUCCGGAUUUAUUGGGUUUAAAGGGUGCGCAGGCGGGAGAUCAAGUCAGCGGUAAAAUGUCGGGGCUCAACCCCGGCCGGCCGUUGAAACUGGUUUUU
Molecule: ribosomal RNA, 305 nt
Filed under: uncultured bacterium
Lineage: Bacteria
Description: bacterial SSU rRNA
Rfam family: Bacterial small subunit ribosomal RNA
Source: RNAcentral